RNAcentral lists this ribosomal RNA (789 nucleotides) under Amynthas yambaruensis. RNAcentral's name for it is "s-rRNA". Lineage: Eukaryota; Metazoa; Annelida; Clitellata; Crassiclitellata; Megascolecidae. The record is from RNAcentral.
CAGUUUGAUUCUGACUGAGAAAUUAACUACAAUACCCACCAAAAUACAUGUAAAACAUAGUUUUCCCGCACCAACUUAAAUCUAAAUGACAUAAUUUAUGUAUUAGUAUAUGCCCAUGCAACAGAGCGCCACAGUAAAUAACACUUCUCAAUUUGAGAAAUCAAGAAAAGAGUAUGGUAUGAGGGCUGGCAAAAUUCGUGCCAGCUGCCGCGGUUAAACGAUAAGCCCAAGUUAAUAAAAUAUAAACUAAAUUAAUGAUAAAUUAAAUAACAACAAAAGUCUAAUUUUUAUGGUCCGAGGUCUAUAUUUAUCAGACAAUAAUGAAAUCAUGAACUAAAACAUGGAUUAGAUACCCAUCUAUUCAUGACAUAAAAUACCAGUUGAAUAUUACGAACAAUAGUUUAAAAUUCAAAGAUUUUGGCGGUGUCUUAUAAAACCAGGGGAACCUGUCUCAUAACUCGAUAAUCCACGUAUACGCAACCUCCUUUAGAUAAUCAGCAUGUGUACUGCCGUUGUAAGCAUACCUUUAAAAGAUAGUAUGCCCCCAUGACUAAAAUCUACCUCAUAUACAUCAGGUCAAAGUGCAGCUAAUGAGGAGGUGAUGAUGGGUUACAACCCCAAAAUGGAUAUCAACUAAGAAAUAAAAAAUCCUACGAAAGUGGACUUGGCCGUAAUCAAUUCAAAGUUAAAAAAAUGAAUAGUACCUAAGACAUGCACACAUCGCCCGUCACUCUACCCCAAAGGCUAGAUAAGUCGUAACAAAGUAGGUGUAAUGGAAAUUGUACCUGU